This is a non-coding RNA of Ictidomys tridecemlineatus (thirteen-lined ground squirrel), 767 nucleotides long. Lineage: Eukaryota; Metazoa; Chordata; Mammalia; Rodentia; Sciuridae. The record is from RefSeq and is a predicted model, not a curated record.
GACCUUGCUGCAAAGCUAGAAAUGACUUCAAUUACAACUACCCUUUCUGAUUAAAAGGAUGAUGAGGGCCCAUGAGCUCCUGUGAGCAGGGUUGAUCAUGGAAAUGGCUGUGGCCACCUCAGUCCCAGUGGCCCCUAGGGCCCUGAUUCUGGGCCACUUUAAAUAGAGAAAGCACAUGUUCCCUGCCAAGUCCUGAAAAAUGAGGCGUGGGCCAUGGGCGCUCAGCAAGGACGGGUCCCCUUUUUAACAUGCUUAGAGAGUGGGCGGAAAUUGGCUUUAUGGUGUUAUCCUGGAGAAAUCUGAUUUAUUUUUUAUCUUAAUUGCUCUCACAACUCCACCUCUGGCACAUUACCUGGUCACCUUCUCUGUCCUCUGAGGAGCGAGGGCGGGCAGCAGAGCUUGGAGUUUUGCCUGACAAUGACAUUUUAAUGUCCAGGCAGUUUGUCAUCUGCUAGAAUCUCUCCCUGCACUCAGCCCAUCUUUCUUUGCAGCUCCUCAGAGCAAGCUCCCAUGGAUUGUUACCUUAUGGACUAGCUGUCUGACUCACUCCUAAGUGAUCUAAUAAAAGCAGUGCCUUAAAAUCAUUGGAGCCAAGCAUUCCUGCUCUGGAGAGAUUGGAUUCCUGCUCCCUCCCGACUUCUCAGAUUUGGAUUCCAACCAGAAAGAAUGGGGAAAAGGAAGGAGAGGCCAUGCCCAGUUUCUCUGAGCACUAAAUCAGAACCUGCUCACAACACUUUCUCCCAUCACCUGGUCACAUCCAACUCCCC